Molecule: ribosomal RNA, 427 nt
Filed under: uncultured Acidobacterium sp.
Lineage: Bacteria; Pseudomonadati; Acidobacteriota; Terriglobia; Terriglobales; Acidobacteriaceae
Description: bacterial SSU rRNA
Rfam family: Bacterial small subunit ribosomal RNA
Source: RNAcentral
AACGCGAAGAACCUUACCUGGGCUCGAAAUGUUGUGGACCGGGGUAGAAAUAUCCCUUCCCCGCAAGGGGCCGCAAUAUAGGUGCUGCAUGGCUGUCGUCAGCUCGUGUCGUGAGAUGUUGGGUUAAGUCCCGCAACGAGCGCAACCCUUAUCUUCAGUUGCUACCAUUUAGUUGAGCACUCUGACGAAACCGCCUCGGAUAACGGGGAGGAAGGUGGGGAUGACGUCAAGUCCUCAUGGCCUUUAUGUCCAGGGCUACACACGUGCUACAAUGGCCGGUACAAACCGUCGCAAACCCGCGAGGGGGAGCUAAUCGGAAAAAGCCGUCCUCAGUUCGGAUUGCAGUCUGCAACUCGACUGCAUGAAGCUGGAAUCGCUAGUAAUCGCGGAUCAGAACGCCGCGGUGAAUACGUUCCCGGGCCUUGUA